RNAcentral lists this ribosomal RNA (456 nucleotides) under Triticum aestivum (bread wheat). RNAcentral's name for it is "partial small subunit ribosomal RNA". The record is from RNAcentral. Lineage: Eukaryota; Viridiplantae; Streptophyta; Magnoliopsida; Poales; Poaceae.
AUGAGGGAAGGGACUAGGUGUGGUAAUGAAUCUUUUUAUAUCAUUUGGUUGCUCUCAAUGUUUCAGAAAGCCAUGCUUACUAGUGCAAAAUCUAAAGCGCAUGAGGCGUUCAAGAACGGGAACUAUUAUCUUGCAGCAAGAAUAUACAAAGAGGCAAUGGCACUUGACCCUGGUAAUGCAACCUUGCUUUCAAAUAGGAGCCUAUGCUGGCUCUGCCUCGGUGAUGCAAAGAACGCCUUGAAUGAUGCUCAAGCUUGCAUUAUGAUGCGACCUGGCUGGCCAAAGGCCUCAUAUCGUCAAGGAACUGCUCUAAUGUUACUGAAGGACUAUGAAAAGGCAUGUGGUGCAUUUCUUGAUGGUCUUAAAUUGGAGCCUGGGAACAUAGAGAUGGAAGAUGGAUUACGGCAGGCUUUGGAAUCCUUGAAGAUAUAUCGCAGUAGUCGUGGGCAAGACUAG